ACAAAAUGCUGUGUAUACUUUAGGGUCCUUGCAACCACGGGACAAAUCAGCAUUGCAAAUUGAACAUGUAGCUUGACUUGAAUCGCCUUCUUUAGACUGAAAGUACUGCCAAACAAAACUUUUUCUGCGAACAAAUUCCAUUUUCAAUUUCUCACAGCCUACUGCAUUGAACCGUCCACCUACGUGAACACCUUC
Molecule: long non-coding RNA, 195 nt
Organism: Etheostoma spectabile (orangethroat darter)
Lineage: Eukaryota; Metazoa; Chordata; Actinopteri; Perciformes; Percidae
Exons: 3
Source: RefSeq, a predicted model, not a curated record